RNAcentral lists this unclassified non-coding RNA (424 nucleotides) under Pocillopora damicornis (cauliflower coral). RNAcentral's name for it is "centrosomal protein of 290 kDa-like, transcript variant X1". The record is from RNAcentral. Lineage: Eukaryota; Metazoa; Cnidaria; Anthozoa; Scleractinia; Pocilloporidae.
GUGAAAAACACCUGAGAUAAUUCAGCCUGCUUUUGAAAGUAAAAUUUCAAAAACAAAACAGUAAAAGCACUUAUGUCACUUACUUUCUCAGUCAUGAAUUGAACAAUGUAAACCUGUCAAGGAAAAAGACACGGUCUAUUAACACUAAUUAAAGGGGGUGACACACGGUGGCGGACACGUUCUUCGUGAUACCGCAAACCCUACAUAAUUACCAGUGAUCACUAUUAUCACAUACUGUUGAUUUCGCGACAGUCACAAAGAGAAUCAACGCAGAAGUCGCAGAGAACUGGAUUUGAAUAAUCUUCGCUUACGCAGCAAUCGUGAAAAAGCUGAACAAAGUCAGAACCCUAAUGGCACUCCUGGACAUGCCGAUAAUGAACGAGAUCUACUCGAAGCAAGCCAAGCAACUGCAACUUCAUCCGAA